GAUGAACGCUAGCUACAGGCUUAACACAUGCAAGUCGAGGGGCAGCACAGUGUAGCAAUACACGGGUGGCGACCGGCGCACGGGUGCGUAACGCGUAUCCAACCUUCCCGUUACUCAGGGAUAGCCUUCCGAAAGGGAGAUUAAUACCUGAUGGUGUUCAAAUUCCGCAUGUUAUUUGAACUAAAGAUUUAUCGGUAACGGAUGGGGAUGCGUGACAUUAGAUAGUAGGCGGGGUAACGGCUCACCAAGGCAACGAUCAUUAGGGGUUCUGAGAGGAAGGUCCCCCACACUGGAACUGAGACACGGUCCAGACUCCUACGGGAGGCAGCAGUGAGGAAUAUUGGUCAAUGGAGGCAACUCUGAACCAGCCAAGUAGCGUGCAGGACGACGGCCCUAUGGGUUGUAAACUGCUUUUAUGCGGGGAUAAAUGAUCCUACGUGUAGGAUUUUGCAGGUACCGCAUGAAUAAGGACCGGCUAAUUCCGUGCCAGCAGCCG
Molecule: ribosomal RNA, 496 nt
Filed under: uncultured bacterium
Lineage: Bacteria
Description: bacterial SSU rRNA
Rfam family: Bacterial small subunit ribosomal RNA
Source: RNAcentral